CGACAACUAUACAUGUCUGUGUGACGUCAUUGCUUUCGUCAAUACGUCAUUAAGAAAUGAAAAUUGAAACUGACAUACUCUGGUGGAUGUUUACAUUGUUGAAAUUUAAUAAAUUAAUGGAAUGCACUCGAUUGAAGCUGCUCUGUCAAAUGCUGGACUUCACACAUUCCAUGCAGCAUUCUUCUGAGCAAAACUGACUGCGUGCUUUGUACUCAACAACGAAGCAAUUCUGGACCUAUAAAGCUUGACCGGGACUGAAACAUUAGCAUUUGUGACUCUGUAAUGUUCAACGUAAGUGGACUGUAAAGAAACUGCAAUUUUUGUGAAGAGACUCUGUAUGUCUGUAAGCAAAAAGAAUAUACAGCAUAACAAAUAUCAGGUGUGAAAACAAUGUGAAAGAAUAGUGAAAUUAACAAUUUGCAAUCAGGCAUGUCAAAUGAAUUGUUGAUAUUAAAAAUGAUAGUUCCCAGGCAGCUCUAGACGGGUUUUUCUGUAUUUCUAUUACUAGUAUUAUUUCAUAAAAUGUAUGACACAAUUAAAAAGCACACUCUGUUUAGAGACCAUUGUGUUGUCUCAUUGUGUUAUGAUGACUUUGAGUAAUACAUUGUACAUUAAACAAUAUCUACUAAGUGGUAUUUAAGUAUAAGAUUUCUUGUUUAUUAUAUAAAUGAAUGUUAAUUUUUGCUUAAAUAUAAAUGUGCAUAAUGCAGUGUAUAAUUGCAGUGCCAGUAGCACACUUUGCAAUAUUUUUAUUACAAAAGAGUGUGUUGUACACUUGAACUUAUACCUAUAAUUAAUAAUCCUUGCCUAAAAAUUCAUUUGACACACCUGAGACCAUGUUGUGUAUUACCAUUAUUAUUUUGCAUAUUAUGCUGACACUUUGAAAAAAUUGCAAAUAAGCGAAAAGCAGUAAUUUAGUCUUGCCAACUGUCUCUGAUGAAUUUUUUGAAGACCAUAUAAGAAGCGAAAGUGUAGGAUACGGUAUUCAUUUUAUUUGAUGACCUCUUGUUAUUAUUUCUUCAUAGAAGGCGUACUGGAUGAGUGAAGUAUUUUUUUUGGUUCUACAUCUUUGAUGAAGUCAACUCAUUGACAUUUAGUGCCAUGACUGAGCGUGUUUUUGAACUAACAAACGCGUGGUAGGAACUUAUCCGAAUAUAUGCAAACUCAUAACAGUGUGUCUAAUACUAUAUGUGUUGAGUGCACAGAAACAAGGGCGAGAAGAUAAGGGUAUAAAUGAACAUACUGAAUGUUUUAUUUUGUUUAUGAGCUUGAACAUACACAAACUUGACUUUAAUCAAUUGGGAUGUACAUGCAGUUUAAUAAUCGGGUUGUUAUUUUAUAAUCAUAUUCAUGUGGAAACUGCCUCAUUCACAUGCAAUACGCAGCUGCUGUCUAUAUGUUUAAUGCUACAUUCCAUAAUGACUGAAUAUCUUUACUUUCAAAACAUGAAAAUAAAUUAAAUGAAAUGAAAAUAAACGAAAUAAUGAAAUUAAAUUCAGGUGAAAAAUAUUUGAUUAUAUUUUAUUUAAAUAUGGUUUGGUAAAUUAUUUACUAGUAAAACAAUUCUUGUUGAUAACAGUAAAUUCGUGAUAAUAAGUAUGUUGUUGUUUAUUUUUUGUCUCACACAUAAAGUGACAGGUACACUCAUAUAUUUAGCGUUAAGCUUAUGAUAUGGGUCUUCAUCGUAAAUCUAAAUUUUUGCUACUAGUAUUUUCUCCUUUGCACCAACCUAGUAAUGUUCAAUCUGUGUAUGCCAUAAGCGAUAGUUUUUACCAACUGUUAAUUCCUGAGGAUUCAGAAAAAUACAAUAAGUUUACCACAUUUCAUGACAUAAGCUCUAACAGUGCGGAAGAUAUGCAAAGAGUAUUGUGUCCAAAGCCAAAGGUGAUAUUUCUGGUCUGUGUAAUUUUGCGCAGUGAAUGAGGUCUAUGCACUUCUUUCAAGAUAGAUGCAAACACUCUCGCAAGCAUUGUUGCAUGCAUAUGUUUAUUAACAUUAAUUAAGUACAAAAAGGUUUUCAUUUACAUAUGCAGGGGAUACAUUUACGAUGUCGAUGAUUUAGACAUGGGACCAAAAUAAUGAAGUACGGCACCUUUCUUUUUUAUGCUUAAGUUAAACAAAAUCGUUUUAGAAAUAAUCUCGCCUUAAAACAUAAAUGGCAUCCCUGCAUAUGGAAAACAUCAAUAAAACACAGUUUCGCGAGAUUUUGUUGAUUUUUUUUAAAUUCAGUAUUCUAACAUUGUUUUUAAAAGUAAACAAAAAAUGAAAUACAUGUUUAAGAGUUUGAAAACAAUACAAGGGGUUACAAUACAUAAAGCAUAGCUUCAUAAAAUUGUUUAAGAUUAAAACAAAUGAUAUUUUAUUGCUUUGCUAAAUUACAUAUUGUUUUGUUAAGAAAUUGAAUGUUUUGUUGCAUGAUAAUGUGCAGACAUAUAUUACCCGUGUUAUCUUAAACAAACAUCAAAUAAGCUUUUGCCCGUAAAUUAGGUAGCACCUAUUAUCAUAUUAUCUUUCUUAUAUACAGGGGAAACAAAUGCAAUAAGUUUAAAUUUCAUGAUUAAUAAAUAGAGUAUUUGUUCAUGGCA
Long non-coding RNA from Dreissena polymorpha, 2585 nucleotides. RefSeq lists it as uncharacterized. Lineage: Eukaryota; Metazoa; Mollusca; Bivalvia; Myida; Dreissenidae. The record is from RefSeq and is a predicted model, not a curated record. The transcript is spliced from 2 exons.